RNAcentral lists this ribosomal RNA (262 nucleotides) under uncultured bacterium. RNAcentral describes it as "partial 16S ribosomal RNA". It matches the Rfam family "Bacterial small subunit ribosomal RNA", at positions 793 to 1055 of the family's 1533-position model. The record is from RNAcentral.
GUCCACGCCGUAAACGAUGAGUGCUAAGUGUUAGGGUUUCCGCCCCUUAGUGCUGCAGCUAACGCAUUAAGCACUCCGCCUGGGGAGUACGACCGCAAGGUUGAAACUCAAAGGAAUUGACGGGGCCCGCACAAGCGGUGGAGCAUGUGGUUUAAUUCGAAGCAACGCGAAGAACCUUACCAGGUCUUGACAUCCCAAUGACCGUCCUAGAGAUAGGAUUUUCCCUCGGGGACAUUGGUGACAGGUGGUGCAUGGUUGUCGU